AGAUGAAUGAAAAUGAAGGAGAUAGUCAAGAACUCCAUAGGAACAAGAAUGGAGAAUUGUCUACUAGAACCAGAACUGUGGCGAGAUACCUGCGUCGAGUAAUCCAAAGAAAGAAGCA
Long non-coding RNA from Chenopodium quinoa (quinoa), 118 nucleotides. RefSeq lists it as uncharacterized. The transcript has 3 exons. Lineage: Eukaryota; Viridiplantae; Streptophyta; Magnoliopsida; Caryophyllales; Amaranthaceae. The record is from RefSeq and is a predicted model, not a curated record.